Molecule: RNA transcript, 393 nt
Organism: Gossypium raimondii (Peruvian cotton)
Lineage: Eukaryota; Viridiplantae; Streptophyta; Magnoliopsida; Malvales; Malvaceae
Exons: 2
Source: RefSeq, a predicted model, not a curated record
AUAAACUGAAGAGAAUUCCUCCAUUUGUUCCCCUUGUUGGGAAUGGGCAGCCAUUUGCAUAUGCUCCACCUUCUCUUACCAUCAGGUCAAGCACAGAAUGGUGGGAAUCGUUGGAGUGGGAUGACCAUCCAAACUUUGAAAAUGUUCUCAAGCAUGAAAGGAGUUCUUGGUGAUGUUGUUGUAGAGAAAGAUGAAAGUGUAGGUGGGAAAGAAGGAUAGUGCAAAAGAGAGGAGAAAAGGAAUGAUGGAAGGAAGAGGUUAAGAGGCUCCACAUUGUAAACAUAUAAAUUUGCUUAAUAUUUUUCUAUGUUUGUUUUGAAAGAAUGAGUAUUGAAUAUAGAUAAUAUAGAGAAAUUUUGUAGGGUUUAAAAAUAAUUAUCCCUAAUUUUCUCA